AGCUAGCGGCCGUUGGGGAUGAAUAUUGUCCUAAAAGCAAAAAAAGAACAAAACAACUAAAAAAAAAAAAAAACCGGAGAAGGGGGUUAAGGGCAAACACCACGUGGCUGCAGGAGGAUUACAAGAUUUCCUUUCCUUUCUCUACUGACAAGAUUGCAAAAUGUGUGAACCAGAAGGCACAGCCAGGACGGGAGCGUGAGGCACUGUAGGCAAGAUUUAUCGUCAGGCGUGGUGGCAUAUGUCUUUAACAUCAUCGUUCAGAAGGCAGAGAGGCAGGUAGAUCUCUGUGAAUUUUGAGUCCAGCCUGGUCUACCUGCGUUUUUUCUCUCCCUACCGGAAAUCUGAUGGGCUUAUGACAUCAUGGCUGGCUGCUGAGCGAUGGAGUGGAUGCCACAAAGAAAUCCGACAUGUCAGAUGGAUUCAGAAAUCCCUUUCCCUCCUGCGGCUGGAGGAACAGGCGUGGAGUCGGGAGAGUCUGAGCUUUGUUUGAGAAAUUAUUAAGAAAAAAAAAAAAAAACCCAAACCAAGUCUUGCCUGACAUUAAAAGCAGUUUUCUUUAAAAUG
Molecule: long non-coding RNA, 564 nt
Filed under: Mus caroli (Ryukyu mouse)
Lineage: Eukaryota; Metazoa; Chordata; Mammalia; Rodentia; Muridae
Description: predicted gene 29019 (MGP_CAROLIEiJ_G0005101.1)
Source: RNAcentral